ACAAAGGGUAGCAAGUUCGCGAGGACAAGCAAAUCCCAUAAACCGUGGCUCAGUUCAGAUCGUAGGCUGCAACUCGCCUACGUGAAGGAGGAAUCGCUAGUAAUCGCAGGUCAGCAUACUGCGGUGAAUACGUUCCCGGGCCUUGUACACACCGCCCGUCACACCAUGGAAGUUGGCCACGCCCGAAGCCGUUACUCCAACCCUUGUGGAGGAGGACGUCGAAGGUGGGGCUGAUGACUGGGGUGAAGUCGUAACAAGGUAUCCGUACCGGAAGGUGCGGAUGGAUCACCUCCUAAC
RNAcentral lists this ribosomal RNA (297 nucleotides) under uncultured Synechococcus sp. RNAcentral's name for it is "partial 16S ribosomal RNA". It matches the Rfam family "Bacterial small subunit ribosomal RNA", at positions 1239 to 1533 of the family's 1533-position model. Lineage: Bacteria; Bacillati; Cyanobacteriota; Cyanophyceae; Synechococcales; Synechococcaceae. The record is from RNAcentral.